This 105-nucleotide small RNA is filed under the name Helicobacter suis HS5. RNAcentral's name for it is "Heliobacter pylori small RNA HPnc0580". It matches the Rfam family "Heliobacter pylori small RNA HPnc0580". Lineage: Bacteria; Pseudomonadati; Campylobacterota; Epsilonproteobacteria; Campylobacterales; Helicobacteraceae. The record is from Rfam by way of RNAcentral.
UACAUUUCGUAUCUACGGCAGGAAGUGCCGAAAGUUACGCCUUUGGAUAUAUGAUGUGUGAGACCUGUAGGGAAUGCGUUGGAGCUUUCAACUCUGUAAAAUCCC